CGGGGAAGCAUGCCGUAGUCAUUACUCUAACCUUUCGAGGAGGAGGGUGCCGAAGGCAGGGCUGAUGACUGGGGUGAAGUCGUAACAAGGUAGCCGUACCGGAAGGUGUGGCUGGAUCACCUCCUUUU
This 128-nucleotide ribosomal RNA is filed under the name Lyngbya sp. 2E11. Its description in RNAcentral is "partial 16S ribosomal RNA". It matches the Rfam family "Bacterial small subunit ribosomal RNA", at positions 1405 to 1533 of the family's 1533-position model. Lineage: Bacteria; Bacillati; Cyanobacteriota; Cyanophyceae; Oscillatoriales; Microcoleaceae. The record is from RNAcentral.